Molecule: ribosomal RNA, 468 nt
Filed under: uncultured bacterium
Lineage: Bacteria
Description: partial 16S ribosomal RNA
Rfam family: Bacterial small subunit ribosomal RNA
Source: RNAcentral
GACGAACGCUGGCGGCGUGCUUAACACAUGCAAGUCGAACGGAAAGGCCCUGCUUUUGUGGGGUGCUCGAGUGGCGAACGGGUGAGUAACACGUGAGUAACCUGCCCUUGACUUUGGGAUAACUUCAGGAAACUGGGGCUAAUACCGGAUAGGAGCUCCUGCUGCAUGGUGGGGGUUGGAAAGUUUCGGCGGUUGGGGAUGGACUCGCGGCUUAUCAGCUUGUUGGUGGGGUAGUGGCUUACCAAGGCUUUGACGGGUAGCCGGCCUGAGAGGGUGACCGGCCACAUUGGGACUGAGAUACGGCCCAGACUCCUACGGGAGGCAGCAGUGGAGAAUAUUGCACAAUGGGCGGAAGCCUGAUGCAGCAACGCCGCGUGCGGGAUGACGGCCUUCGGGUUGUAAACCGCUUUCGCCUGUGACGAAGCGUGAGUGACGGUAAUGGGUAAAGAAGCACCGGCUAACCACGUG